GCGGGGAGGAAUUGGGCGUGCUACGCGGCGAAGAUUGAUGGUUCUGUACAGUAAUUGUGGAUUUUAGCUACGCCCGGAGACAAAACCAAACAAACAAAAUGCUCUAAUUAAUCGCAAUUCAAUAAUAGUGUUUUGUCGGCGGAUUAUCACAGAGUCACGAGUAGAAGUUAUUAGAAAUACCUUCAACAUUUUCAUCAAUCCUUCCAAUUGGAUCAUCAGCUGUCGUCGGGAAUCCUGCAGAGUAGUAAGAUGUGUCUCUAAUUCGUCUUUACGCAUGCGUAACGCUCGUAAUUCAUGCAUCAACGCUGGAUUUUCAACACCGUGACUCUCCAGCUCUUGUUGCCGGCGUAAACGUGCGAUUUCGCGCAUUAUCUCACGGUUUUUAGCUUCCAAUUGACCGAUAAGUUCGCGUUGCGCGCGAGUUGAGUCCAUACCCAGACACGUUUCAGAUGGAACUCUCCCCUGGACAAAACACAUUUUUUUAUUUAAUUAAUUAAUAGCUGUUGAAUAAAAAUAAAACAUUUAAGUUUUUCGUACUUACUGCGUCUGGAGAUAGGGAGUUUUUGCGCAGGCUGCCGCCGCCUCUCUGCGAAACAAGCAACGGCAAGAAGCACACUUAAGCGAAACGAAACAAGCGAGGAGAAUGUUCACAAAGAGUAAAGUACAUACAAAGAGAAUGAUUACAAUUACAUUGAUCCGGGCAGGUCACAAGCACGGCUAGCAUUAGCACGGCUUCCCGUCUAUUCUAUUUUCAUUUUUUUGCGACUGCUAUUGACUUUUGAGACGUUCUAGAAAUCUAUGUCUAGAGGAAUGUUAAAUGUAAAUAAAACAUGCCAAAAAACCUAAAUAAACUAUGAGAAAUGUAAAAAAUAAACUUGGAAA
This is a long non-coding RNA of Dalotia coriaria, 882 nucleotides long. RefSeq lists it as uncharacterized. NCBI's taxonomy places the organism in Eukaryota, Metazoa, Arthropoda, Insecta, Coleoptera, Staphylinidae. The transcript is spliced from 2 exons. The record is from RefSeq and is a predicted model, not a curated record.